RNAcentral lists this small nuclear RNA (22 nucleotides) under Arabidopsis thaliana (thale cress). RNAcentral's name for it is "snRNA_02280". Lineage: Eukaryota; Viridiplantae; Streptophyta; Magnoliopsida; Brassicales; Brassicaceae. The record is from RNAcentral.
GGCCUUGCUGCCACGAUCCACU